Molecule: ribosomal RNA, 253 nt
Filed under: uncultured bacterium
Lineage: Bacteria
Description: partial 16S ribosomal RNA
Rfam family: Bacterial small subunit ribosomal RNA
Source: RNAcentral
GACGAACCGUGCGAACGUUAUUCGGAAUCACUGGGCUUAAAGCGCGUGUAGGCGGAUGGGAACGUCGGCGACUGAAAGCCCCCGGCUCAACCGGGGAAGUGGUGCCGAAACGACCUGUCUGGAGGGACGUAGAGGGAUCUGGAACUUCCGGUGGAGCGGUGAAAUGCGUUGAGAUCGGAAGGAACGCCCGUGGCGCAAGCGAGGUCCUGGACGUCUGCUGACGCUGAGACGCGAAAGCUAGGGGAGCAAACGG